CGUAAAAAGUAACGAAAGUGAGUUAUUUGUAGUGAGGUGAAUGGACGUAGAGUCUGUCAUACAGAGUGAAGUAAGUCAGAAAGAGAAAAACAAAUACUGUAUGCUAACACAUAUAUAUGGAAUCUAAAAAAAAAAAAAAAAAGGGGGUUCUGAAGAACCUAAGGGCAGGACAGGAAUAAAGAUGAAGAUGUAGAGAAUGGACUUGAGGACAUGGGGAGGGGGAAGGGUAAGCUGGGACGAAGUGAGAGAGUAGCAUUGACACAUAUAUAUAUACUACCAAAUGUAAAAUAGAUAGCUAGUGGGAAGCAGCUGCGUAGCACAGGGAGAUCAGCUCGGUGUUUUGUGACCACCUAGAGGGGUGGGAUAGCAAGGGUAGGAGGGAGAUGCAAGAGGGAGGAGAUAGGGGAUAUAUGUAUAUAUAUAGCUGAUUCACUUUGUUAUAAAGCAGAAACUAACAUACCAUUGUAAAGCAAUUAUACUCCAAUAAAGAUGUUAAAAAAAGUCAAAAAAAUAAAAAUAGAAACAACAGGGGCUUCCCUGGUGGCGCAGUGGUUGAGAGUCCACCUGCCGAUGCAGGGGACACGGGUUCGUGACCCGGUCCAGGAAGAUCCCACAUGCCGCGGAGCAGCUGGGCCCGUGAGCCAUGGCCGCUGAGCCUGC
Long non-coding RNA from Orcinus orca (killer whale), 660 nucleotides. RefSeq lists it as uncharacterized. NCBI's taxonomy places the organism in Eukaryota, Metazoa, Chordata, Mammalia, Artiodactyla, Delphinidae. The record is from RefSeq and is a predicted model, not a curated record. The transcript is spliced from 3 exons.